This 996-nucleotide long non-coding RNA is filed under the name Parus major (Great Tit). RNAcentral describes it as "lncRNA (ENSPMJG00000000942.1)". The record is from RNAcentral. Lineage: Eukaryota; Metazoa; Chordata; Aves; Passeriformes; Paridae.
AAGGAGUCUUUCCUGUUAUUACAAUGUUUUUCACAUUGCAUCCUGUAGGUACACUUGAGGAAAUGGAGAUUUGGAUUGCUGGGAGAGAGAGAAAGGAGCAGUGGCUUUCCUAAGAUGAACCAGUGGCUUGACAAGGCAGGGGAGCAGCAUUUAUUCCUUUGCUUUGCACUCCUGCACUCUGGUGGAUGCACCAUGCAACUUUCAGACCUGCAAUAGAUACUCUCAAAACCAUCAGUGGAAUCAAGAAUUCCAGAGUCUAAAAUCAUGGACAGCAUCAGUAAACUACUUGAGCUGAUCUUGAACUCUGAACUCCAACUUCAGGGCACAUUUUAUAGCAGUUAAAUGCUAAUGUCAGUUCUGUUGGGACAUUUUUGCAUCUGUGUUGAAAAAGCCUUGAUGUACCAGCACUGUUUUUCUUCUGCUGUGUUUCACCUGAGCAAGCACCUUGGUCUGUCACUGAAGGGCACUGCACAAAGUACAUGUCAGAAGACAGAGGAACUGCAAGGUGUAGGGGACAGCCAGGGAAACUUUUAUUGGUCUGUUAGACUUCUACUUUUCUUUCAUUUGUUGUCAUCCUUCUUACCAUAGUGCUGUGAGAAAGCAAUGAUAAAUUAUAAUUGUGGAAGAAAGUGGUCUAGGUAACAAUUUCAGUCUGUAAAAACAUGUACUUGUCCCAUCUCAGUGUCAUUUUUGUGAGAAUAUCUACAAUCAGGAAAUGGCCCAUCUCUACUGUCAGUCAGCUGUCUGCUGCAAGAUGCAAUUCCAGAUGUGUAUCAGAAAACAGAUGUACAAGCUACAGAAAGCCAGAUAAGACAGCAACAAUAUUCAAUGGAUAAAGAAAUCCUACUGCAUACCAUCCUCUCCAUGCAUAAAAAAAUCGCUGCUUCUUUUCCCUCCAGGAAACUCUUCAGAACAAUGACAUGCCAUUUUCUGUUGUUGCAUGAAAUCUCCUUAAUUUAUUUGCCUAAUAAAUUCCCAGUACUUAUUUGAGGACCA